This 355-nucleotide long non-coding RNA is filed under the name Gossypium barbadense (sea-island cotton). Its description in RNAcentral is "long non-coding RNA (GBAR_LNC023422)". Lineage: Eukaryota; Viridiplantae; Streptophyta; Magnoliopsida; Malvales; Malvaceae. The record is from RNAcentral.
CGAGUAAUAAAUCAAAUGGUAAACAUAAUCGUCACAAGUAGGUAUUUGAAAAGAUUCACAUGGUUCACAGAGUUGCAUAAUCAUACCAUGCAUUAAUCGACGGUCUAUAGAUUCACUCACACAUGCAUUAUCAAAAGCAAGAAUCUUUUAUCAACCAUCAAAACAGAUAGAUCAUCAAUAAAUAAAAUAGGACAGUCAAGCACGUUUCGAUCUAAGUGUUCAUCAACACGAUCUUUAUCACUAUCCGAGAGAGUACAAAAGUGUUUCAAAGGUUUCAAGCAUCUUACCUCGAUAAGCAGAAGAAUAAGGGUCGAUUUUACCUUUUUCAUUUAAAACAAACCUUCGCUCAUCGGGG